Molecule: long non-coding RNA, 1078 nt
Organism: Mercenaria mercenaria
Lineage: Eukaryota; Metazoa; Mollusca; Bivalvia; Venerida; Veneridae
Exons: 3
Source: RefSeq, a predicted model, not a curated record
ACAUAUUUUGAGUGCUUACAAGAUCAAAUUACAAUAAGUAGGUUGAAUUUACGCUAACUCAGUUUUUAUUAAAAUAACAAAACUUUAAAACAAUUUCUUACAAAACUGUUAAUUUCGUUAAAUAAACUUUCCAUAAUUAUGGCAGCAACUGAGGUCAUGUGACACCUCUACUUAUAAAUAACUUUUUUGGGAUUUCAGGCAGCAAGGAUUAUACGUAGUUUACAUUUCUUGCUUUUAAUAGUACCGGUGGAUUUUCUCAAUUUUGUGCUUGGAGUUCUUAUAGACAAAAUACUCCAAGAAUACUUCGAUAUACAAGAAAAUUACCAGAUAAAAUCUUCAUGGAUCAUGUUAACUAGCUCUUUCUCAACCGAAUAAGAUACUCCAAGAAAGAAUACUUCAUAUACAAGAAAAUUACCAGAUAAAUUCUAUCUUCAUGGAUCAUGUGGACUACCAGUAGCUCUUUCUCAACUGAAUAAGGUAAGAUAGUUUUUUCUAGCACAAGGAAUAUAAUGGUUGCAUAUACUAGUAUGUAAUGCUAUAAUAAAUUAAAACUUUUCAAGCUUAACUGAGGCAGAUAAAACUAUUAGAUUUUCUUUCUAUUAAAUAAACAUGCAUAGAGUUAUUCAGACAAUUCCAGUAUGCUAGAUAUUUCUGUUAAAAAGAAUAUAAGGUAUCAGCAUUUCAAACUUCAACAGAUAAUUCAUUCAAUAUUUAAGGACCAAAAUGAUCAAGACUUUUCCUAUAAAACUCUGUGUUUGGUUUAAUAUGGCAAGUACAAGUAUAGGUUUACUGAGUUUGCUUCAUGUAAAAAUGAAAACUUUGUGUUUAAGUAUGCCAGACAUAUAUUAUUCAGAGACUUGUAAACCAAAAUUGCUUUUUUAUAUUUGACUAUAUCAGGCAAUUUCAUCCAAUUCAGUACUGUAAAUAAAAAUCUUUAGAAGAGGUCACUGAAGUAUAGAUCUGGCUGCUUGUUUUUGAAAUUUAAUCACAUUGUCAGUUUCUGCAAUAUUACAGUUUCCCCAAAUAGAGCAUCAGUAACCUAGAUGUGGUAGCCCUAUAUGCAAUGAAAAACAUUUUG